This 73-nucleotide transfer RNA is filed under the name Bavayia robusta. RNAcentral describes it as "tRNA-Asn". The record is from RNAcentral. Lineage: Eukaryota; Metazoa; Chordata; Lepidosauria; Squamata; Diplodactylidae.
UAAAUUGAAGCCCCCUGGCUUGGGUUUUUAGUUGUUAACUAAAGGUUUACGGGAUCGAGGCCCGUCGAUCUAG